This 75-nucleotide transfer RNA is filed under the name Acidimicrobiia bacterium. Its description in RNAcentral is "tRNA-Gly". It matches the Rfam family "tRNA". From Rfam's summary of the family: Transfer RNA (tRNA) molecules are approximately 80 nucleotides in length. Lineage: Bacteria; Bacillati; Actinomycetota; Acidimicrobiia. The record is from RNAcentral.
GCGGGUGUAGCUCAAUGGCUAGAGCACCAGCCUUCCAAGCUGGUGAUGCGGGUUCGAUUCCCGUCACCCGCUCCA